ACGCUCGACACCUACGUGAGGCAGCAGUGGGGGAUAUUGCGCAAUGGGGGAAACCCUGACGCAGCAACGCCGCGUGAAGGACGAAGGUUUUCGGAUUGUAAACUUCUUUUGUUAGGGACGAAGAAAUGACGGUACCUGACGAAUAAGCUCCGGCUAACUACGUGCCAGCAGCCGCGGUAAUCUGAGCGGGCUGGCAAGGC
This 200-nucleotide ribosomal RNA is filed under the name uncultured bacterium. RNAcentral describes it as "partial 16S ribosomal RNA". It matches the Rfam family "Bacterial small subunit ribosomal RNA", at positions 328 to 539 of the family's 1533-position model. The record is from RNAcentral.